UAUACUAAAAAAAAAAAAAAAAUUGGAACGAUACAGAGAAGAUUAGUAUGGCCCCUGUGCAAGGAUGACAUGCAAAUUCGUGAAGCGUUCCAUUAAAAA
RNAcentral lists this small nuclear RNA (99 nucleotides) under Camelus dromedarius (Arabian camel). The record is from RNAcentral. Lineage: Eukaryota; Metazoa; Chordata; Mammalia; Artiodactyla; Camelidae.